RNAcentral lists this ribosomal RNA (442 nucleotides) under uncultured prokaryote. Its description in RNAcentral is "bacterial SSU rRNA". It matches the Rfam family "Bacterial small subunit ribosomal RNA", at positions 355 to 796 of the family's 1533-position model. The record is from RNAcentral.
UUUCGAAUCAUUCACAAUGGGCGCAAGCCUGAUGGUGCAAUGCCGCGUGGGGGAUGACGGUCCUCGGAUUGUAAACCCCUGUCAUCAAGGACUAAACCUGCAUGAAGAAUGCAGCUGAAUUAACUUGAAGAGGAAGAGGUGGCUAACUCCGUGCCAGCAGCCGCGGUAAUACGGAGACCUCGAGCGUUACUCGGAUUCACUGGGCGUAAAGGGAGCGCAGGCGGCUAAAUGUGUCAGGUGUGAAAGCCCGGGGCUCAACUCCGGAACUGCGCCUGAAACUAUUUAGCUUGAGACUCGGAGAGGUAUGCGGAAUUCCAGGUGUAGCGGUGAAAUGCGUAGAUAUCUGGAGGAACACCCAUGGCGAAGGCAGCAUACUGGACGAGUUCUGACGCUCAGGCUCGAAAGCGUGGGUAGCGAAAGGGAUUAGAUACCCCCGUAGUCC